AGAGCGAACGCUGGCGGCAGGCCUAACACAUGCAAGUCGAGCGGCCGUAGCAAUACGGCAGCGGCAGACGGGAGAGUAACACGUGGGAACGCGCCCUUCGGUUCGGAAUAACUCAGGGAAACUUGAGCUAAUACCGGAUACGCCCUUACGGGGAAAGAUUUAUUGCCGAAGGAACGGCCCGCGUCCGAUUAGCUAGUUGGUGAGGUAAUGGCUCACCAAGGCGACGAUCGGUAGCUGGUCUGAGAGGAUGACCAGCCUCACUGGGACUGAGACACGGCCCAGACUCCUACGGGAGGCAGCAGUGGGGAAUAUUGGACAAUGGGCGCAAGCCUGAUCCAGCCAUGCCGCGUGGAUGAUGAAGGCCUUAGGGUUGUAAAGUCCUUUUAACGGGGAAGAUAAUGACGGUACCGUAGAAUAAGCCCGGCUAACUUCGUGCCAGCAGCCGC
Molecule: ribosomal RNA, 446 nt
Filed under: uncultured bacterium
Lineage: Bacteria
Description: SSU rRNA
Rfam family: Bacterial small subunit ribosomal RNA
Source: RNAcentral